This 253-nucleotide ribosomal RNA is filed under the name uncultured bacterium. Its description in RNAcentral is "partial 16S ribosomal RNA". It matches the Rfam family "Bacterial small subunit ribosomal RNA", at positions 524 to 776 of the family's 1533-position model. The record is from RNAcentral.
GACGAAGGUGGCAAGCGUUGCUCGGAAUCACUGGGCAUAAAGCGCGCGUAGGUGGCCUGAUAAGUCGGUGGUGAAAUCCCAUGGCUCAACCAUGGAACUGCCGCCGAUACUAUCGGGCUUGAGGACGGUAGGGGAGAGUGGAACUCCUGGUGUAGCGGUGAAAUGCGUAGAUAUCAGGAGGAACGCCGGUGGCGAAAGCGACUCUCUGGGCCGCUCCUGACACUGAGGCGCGAAAGCUAGGGGAGCAAACAGG